Long non-coding RNA from Planococcus citri (citrus mealybug), 2492 nucleotides. RefSeq lists it as uncharacterized. NCBI's taxonomy places the organism in Eukaryota, Metazoa, Arthropoda, Insecta, Hemiptera, Pseudococcidae. The record is from RefSeq and is a predicted model, not a curated record. The transcript is spliced from 3 exons.
UUCCCAGCUAUUCUUCAUCAAAUAGCGUGCGGAAUGGAGCACCUCCAUGCCAACCAGAUCGUCCAUGGUGAUUUGGCUACGCGGAAUGUUUUGAUCGGAGAGGAAAACCAAGUUAAAAUAGCAGAUUUCGGAUUAAGUAGAGUCUUGCAUGCUCAAGACCACUAUGAAACUAAUGAUAAAACACGUUUUGCAUUUCCUUGGAUGGCUCGUGAAGUUCUGGUAGACCAAAAGCUAAUGUUGGCAUCCGACGUGUGGUCGUUCGGAGUUCUUUUGUGGGAGAUGGCCACAUUCGGAGGGGAUCCAUUUAUCCACCUCAACGGCAUCGAGUUUAAGAAGCGUGUACAGACCAGAAGAGAUGAUCAAGAACUACUGAUAUUUUAUGAUUACAUUUCGGAAACCAUGAGGGAGAUGAUGAUGAAAUGUUGGCGAACGGACCCUCUUCAGCGGGAGACGUUCACCGACAUUAAAACAUUCUAUUCCAACCAGUUGCCUGGAGGAUUGAGGGAGGUCUAGCCGAAUUUCAUGGGGUAUACGGUGCUCUAUUUUAAUGUAUUGUAGGUAUUCUAUGAAAGUCUUCAAUUGCUAUUCUCUCUUUUGGAACUACUUUUAGAGGUUUGAGCUGUAUUGGACUUCGAAAAUACGCAAUAUUCUGCACCUUUAAAAUCUAUAUAUAACAGUUUCAAAAAUCUUUAAAAACUACAGAUUUUCAUGCUAAUAUUGAAUUUUUAAAAAGAGAAUUUUCAAUUUUGAAUCUACCUUUUGGGGUUAAUUUUGAUACUCAUGUGUGAUAUAAGUACCUAAAGGUAGCAACAAUUCACCCACAGGUUUUUAAAAUUGCGAGGGUAGAAAUUUUGAAUCACACGAAUACUUAAUGUUUUUUUUUUUUUUUUUUGGUUUCUUGAAUUACGAAUUUCCGAUAUGCUCUGGCCUUGUCUUGCUAGACCCAGCUUGGUUUUCUUUUUUAAAAUUAAAAUUUCUGAAAAGUUCGUAUUCAAAUUCGAAGUGUUUAAUUUUAAUACAGUAAUCAGUUAUAUUAGGUACGUUAUUUAUCUUAUUGUUAGUGUGCCAAACAAUGGUCCAAAAUUCGAAAAAUCCUCAGAAUAUAAAAGUCUCAAGUUUUUUUACAUUAUAUCCAUUCCAUUUCCCUUUCUGUGAUUUCAAACUAUUGAAUUGGGGCAUACCUACCUCUAAAAAGUAGAAAAAAACUGAAAUUUCAAAAUGCUGUAAAACAUGCCAAUUUUAAUUUUUUUCAAAACUUUAUGGGGUGUUAUAUCAAAAUAUGGAUAUUUUUGAGUAUAAAAAUCGUUGACUGCAUUUUUUCAGAAAUAUUUUGGUUUCUAUCAGCUGCUCGUCACAAAAAAACUCAAUUGGAGGGGGAUGGGGUAUUUUUGAAAAAAGCAUUCGAGAGAAUUUGAAAAUAUCAUAUUCCAUGGAGUACUAAGUAACUAAGGUACCUAUGUAAAGAAAAAUAUCCACAAAAAAUUUUCUACCUUAACUUGCCUCAUUCGCAAAAUGAAAAAUUCCAUGUUUUGCACCCCCUCUUUCCUUUAAAAGAGCUCAUUUCGAAGUUAAGGGGGAAAAUGUAUGGCAAAAUGGACUUCUGCGAUUGAAAAAAACCUAUUUUGAUACCCAUAUCAAUUUUUUUUUAAAUUUCAUGUUUUGCACCCCCCCUCCCUCCCUUACUCGAUGGCUCAUUUCGAGGUCAAAGGAAAAAUGUAUGGCAAAAUCGACUUCUGCGAUUUAAAAAAAAUCCUAUUUCAAUACUCAAGUCGAAUUUUUUUGAAAUUUCAUGUUUUUCACCCUCCUCCUCCUCCUCCUUCUCCUCCCCUGUUGGAGAGCUUAUUUCAAUAUUAAGGCGAAUAGAAAUACUAAAAUCGACUUCAGCGACUCAAAAAAUUCCUAUUACACUACCCAUGUCGAAUUUUUCGAAAAAUUUCAUGUUUUGCAUUCCCCCCCCCCCACCCCCCUCAUUUUGAGGGUCAUUUUGAGGUUCCCCUUUGAGAGCUCAUUUCAAAGUUGAGGUGAAUAUGAAUACUGAAAUCGACUUCAGCAACUCGAAAAAUCCCUAUUACAAUACCCAAGUCGAAUUUUUCGAAACUCCAUGUUUUGAACCACCUCCCCCUUUUUCUUUAGAGCUUGUUACGAAGUUGAUAAUGAAUGCCGAAAUCGACUUCGGUGAUCUAAAAAAAACCUCGUAUGCGAAAUUUUACCGAUUUACCUUAAAAUUACAUUUUUGGUACUUAGCUACUUUUUCAUUUCAGAUCUCUGCGCCACCACCUCUGUCAAAAAUUCAUUGGCUACUCUCAGCCAUAAAAUUUUGUAAAUGUGAUCAAUAUUAUUGAUGUUUUUAUUGUAAAGCAUAGUUUAUUGCUCUUUUGACUGUCUUAUUGUAAUGUCAUGUAAAUAGUUUGUCAAAGUUACUUAAUCAAAGUUUAGUUUUUUUAUUGUAAAAUAUUUUCGAAUUUUUAAUUCGUUAAAAAUAAAAAUUAAUA